UCUCUGGGCGAGGAAGGAGAGUUGAACUGGGACAGGACCGAAAUGGA
RNAcentral lists this non-coding RNA (47 nucleotides) under Strombidium inclinatum. The record is from RNAcentral. Lineage: Eukaryota; Ciliophora; Spirotrichea; Strombidiidae.